RNAcentral lists this ribosomal RNA (423 nucleotides) under uncultured bacterium. Its description in RNAcentral is "bacterial SSU rRNA". It matches the Rfam family "Bacterial small subunit ribosomal RNA", at positions 207 to 622 of the family's 1533-position model. The record is from RNAcentral.
AAGACCUUGCGCUUUUGGAGCGGCCGAUGCCUGAUUAGCUUGUUGGUAAGGUAAAGGCUUACCAAGGCUUCGAUCAGUAGCUGGUCUGAGAGGACGGCCAGCCACACUGGGACUGAGACACGGCCCAGACUCCUACGGGAGGCAGCAGUGGGGAAUUUUGGACAAUGGGGGAAACCCUGAUCCAGCCAUGCCGCGUGAGUGAAGAAGGCCUUCGGGUUGUAAAGCUCUUUCAGCCGGAACGAAACGGUUACGGAUAAUACCCGUGACUACUGACGGUACCGGAAGAAGAAGCACCGGCUAACUACGUGCCAGCAGCCGCGGUAAUACGUAGGGUGCGAGCGUUAAUCGGAAUUACUGGGCGUAAAGCGUGCGCAGGUGGUUUUGUAAGUCAGAUGUGAAAGCCCCGGGCUCAACCUGGGGACU